CCUACGGGAGGCAGCAGUAGGGAAUAUUGCUCAAUGGGGGAAACCCUGAAGCAGCAACGCCGCGUGGGGGAUGAAGGUUUUCUGAUUGUAAACUCCUUUUGUUAGAGAAGAUAAUGACGGUAUCUGACGACUAAGCACCGGCUCCCUCCGUGCCAGCAGCCGCGGUCAUACGGAGGGUGCAGGCGGUACUCGGGAUCACUGGGCGUAAAGAGCGCGUAGGCGGGAUAGCAAGGCAGAUGUGAAAUCCUAUGGCUUAACCAUAGAACUGCAUUUGAAACUGUUAUUCUAGAGUAUGUGAGAGGUAGGUGGAAUGCUUGGUGUAGGGGUAAAAUCCGUAGAGAUCAAGAGGAAUACUCAUUGCGAAGGCGACCUGCUAGAACAUAACUGACGCUGAUGCGCGAAAGCGUGGGGAGCAAACAGGAUUAGAUACCCUUGUAGUC
RNAcentral lists this ribosomal RNA (440 nucleotides) under uncultured bacterium. RNAcentral describes it as "partial 16S ribosomal RNA". It matches the Rfam family "Bacterial small subunit ribosomal RNA", at positions 338 to 795 of the family's 1533-position model. The record is from RNAcentral.